Ictidomys tridecemlineatus (thirteen-lined ground squirrel) is the source of this 682-nucleotide non-coding RNA. The record is from RefSeq and is a predicted model, not a curated record. NCBI's taxonomy places the organism in Eukaryota, Metazoa, Chordata, Mammalia, Rodentia, Sciuridae.
UGUGACUGAAUUCUAAGUUCUAUAGAACUUACGUUCAUACAAUGGAAAACAUGGAAAUGACUCAGACAUCAGAAAGUUUUAAAUUUUCUUACUACUAUCCAUUAUCAUCUUGGGAAAUUUCUUGUAAGUGUCCCACCUGGAUGAGCCCAUAGGAGAUUCAGAGAGAAGACCCAUGCUGUGUGGAAAAGGCAUCCAGGCUCUCCAUUCCAGAGGAUCUGUGGACCAUGCUUUCUACAACUACACGUGCCCAAAGGGUUUCUCUGGGGCAGUGCCUCCUCUGGUGAGGAUGGAGUGCUGCUGCCAAAUUCUGGGCACUGGGUACUGCUGCUUGCCCCACUCGCUGCCUUGUCACUAGCAGGCCUCAAACGGUUCAAUCUCACUGGUGUUCACAACACUCCCUACCUGCUGAUAAAAGUGUCAGUCUCCUGGAAAGAACCUAAAAUAGAGGGGAGGCCAAAUGCCCUCUUCUGACUCACUCUUAUGAGUACAGUGGGACUAUUCACACUUGGUAUCACAGAAGGCUGGGGAGAAGGAGCAUUUGGACAUAAAGAAACAUUCUCAAUACCAUCCAAUCACAGUUCCACUCAUCUUUUGAGUCCAAAGGGGCUUUAUAUAGCCACACUUUCUGGUUUCCUUAGUUCAUGCGAAGGAUUUAUUAUAUGUGGACAGUUUCUUAAAUAGA